Long non-coding RNA from Zophobas morio, 402 nucleotides. RefSeq lists it as uncharacterized. The transcript has 2 exons. NCBI's taxonomy places the organism in Eukaryota, Metazoa, Arthropoda, Insecta, Coleoptera, Tenebrionidae. The record is from RefSeq and is a predicted model, not a curated record.
GAAAUUAGAAAUUAUUCUCAUCAGAAAUCAACGAACAAGUCAAACUGAAUUAUUUUAUCCAGUGUGAUGAUUUAUUGCAGGUCAAUUUAAACGGAAUAAAUGCACAAACUGCACAAAAAAUUUUAUUAGGUUAUGCUAUGUUCUACUGCGAUUAGAUGAAAAAGCGGGGGCCUGCAUGUUCUUCAACGGUUAAUUUAAUUAGGAUGGAUUUUUUGCCUCCAGGAAGCAUCUUCAUUACAGGAAAUUUUUGAGAGAGAAAUGUAGAACAUUGACUCAUCAACAUUUUAAAGUAUUUUUCUCUAUUACGAAUGUGUUUUGGGAUUCAGAAACUUUUGUAUUACUGUUUUAUUUGUUUAUUGUGUUAACAACAACAAAAAUAAAAAUAAUAUUUCGCAAAAGAAA